CGGGUAGUUUGUUCCAGUCGGUAAUAGUUCUUGGAAAAUAGGAUUCUUUUCUGUACUGUGUUUUGCAGGAAGGAAUUUGGAAGCUGUUCGAAUAAGAAUGUCUUGUUUAUAUUUUUUGUGGGAUUCAUUUUAUAUCUUUAGGUAUUGUUACCUUUUUGUGUUCAAUUUUAUAAAACAUUACUAAUCUUGAGUAUUUUCUUUUGUCAGAGAGGCUGCGUCAUUUAAGGUGUUGUAACGGUACCGUUUUA
This 248-nucleotide long non-coding RNA is filed under the name Mytilus galloprovincialis (Mediterranean mussel). Lineage: Eukaryota; Metazoa; Mollusca; Bivalvia; Mytilida; Mytilidae. The record is from RNAcentral.